RNAcentral lists this long non-coding RNA (401 nucleotides) under Homo sapiens (human). RNAcentral describes it as "HSALNT0251669". The record is from RNAcentral. Lineage: Eukaryota; Metazoa; Chordata; Mammalia; Primates; Hominidae.
CUCAAACAUUGAGACAAAGGAUGGCAGACAGGUUUCAACUCUAAUUGUUAAGUGGCUGCCUCCAACAGAAUAUUGAGACUGGGGAACAAUGUGGGGCAGGUUUCAACUCUAAUUGUUACGUGGCUGCCUCCAACAGAAUAUUGAGACUGGGGAACAAUGUGGGGCAGGUUUCAACUCUAAUUGUUACGUGGCUGCCUCCAACAGAAUAUUGAGACUGGGGAACAACGUGGGGCAGGUUUCAACUCUAAUUGUUACGUGGCUGCCUCCAACAGUAUAUUGAGACUGGGGAACAACGUGGGGCAGGUUUCAACUCUAAUUGUUACGUGGCUGCCUCCAACAGAAUAUUGAGACUGGGGAACAACGUGGGGCUUGAUGUCAAAGAGAACUCAGAAGGAUUAUAA